UUCAGCGUGUUUCUUGUAAGCAGCGAGAUUUCGCGCUUGGGGCCGAGUUCUUUCUUCCCCUGAGAGACUUCCGUCCCUGGACCCUGAGACUUCCGUCCCCUCUCCCCGAGAGUUCCACACAACAAACGUUUUGGGCUCGUUUUAAAGGCCCAGACUGCUUGAGUGAAACAACCUUCAGAGACGUUCCAUUCUUUCGUUUACCCCGUGCUUACAACCUGAAAACAAAAUUGGAUUGGCACAAGUCGGCCAGGGCUGAGGAAGUGCACUUGAGACCUGACACAAAUGCAUCAGUCCGGAGAAAGAGCCAAGUUCCCAGGUGUCUGCGGAGAAGGCCAGACCGACAGCUGUGGUCACACAUUGCCGUGCUAAUAGCAAUUUCAUGGACUGGAAGUGCUUGUUGAUACUGGAUCCAGACAACUGUUUCCUAAUCUCUUAAGAGGUGAGGACAUGAUCUUCAACUUUUAAAAACCAUAGAGGCCUCCAGGUUUUAAAUGUGACCCACAAGAGCUGGAUAAACUAUACCCGAGCAGAAGUGCAGGAAUCCCUGGUGUCUGUGCUUAAAUAAAAAAGUGUAUUUCUGUGUACAG
This 587-nucleotide long non-coding RNA is filed under the name Rattus norvegicus (Norway rat). Its description in RNAcentral is "long non-coding RNA NONRATT027795". The record is from RNAcentral. Lineage: Eukaryota; Metazoa; Chordata; Mammalia; Rodentia; Muridae.